UACAACUUAAGCAACGCAGUCCCAACCUUCUACUACGUCCUUGCUGCCCUUAAGCUAGCGCCAGUGUGAAUAAGCUUCAACAAAAGCAA
This 89-nucleotide small RNA is filed under the name Lysinibacillus odysseyi 34hs-1 = NBRC 100172. RNAcentral describes it as "BsrC". It matches the Rfam family "BsrC". From Rfam's summary of the family: The 301 nucleotide sequence from Kouji Nakamura has been trimmed to a highly conserved ~85 nucleotide long core to form this family. Lineage: Bacteria; Bacillati; Bacillota; Bacilli; Caryophanales; Bacillaceae. The record is from Rfam by way of RNAcentral.